Molecule: small nucleolar RNA, 107 nt
Organism: Mercurialis annua (annual mercury)
Lineage: Eukaryota; Viridiplantae; Streptophyta; Magnoliopsida; Malpighiales; Euphorbiaceae
Source: RefSeq, a predicted model, not a curated record
AGGUGGUGAUGAGGAACAUUCCGUUGAAAAUUCUUGAAUCUCUCCCACGAUUCACUCAAGGACUCACCAUCAUAUUGCAUAAAAUCAAUAAUCUCCUUAGUCAACUU